GUCCAGGGUAGCCUAGUGGACAUGGCACCUGCCCGGUAAGCAGAAGGUUGUGGGUUCGAUUCCCGACCCUGGACA
Non-coding RNA from Cordylochernes scorpioides, 75 nucleotides. The record is from the annotation of a GenBank genome assembly. Lineage: Eukaryota; Metazoa; Arthropoda; Arachnida; Pseudoscorpiones; Chernetidae.